GGACUACAAGGGUAUCUAAUCCCGUUUGCUCCCCUGGCUUUCGUGCCUCAGCGUCAGGAAAUGUCCAGAGACUCGCCUUCGCCACUGGUGUUCCACUUGAUAUCUACGCAUUUCACUGCUACACCAAGUAUUCCAGUCUCCCCUCCAUUCCUCGAGCCGGAUAGUAUCCAACGCAGUUUCCAAGUUGAGCUUGGAGAUUUCACGUCAGACUUACCCGACCGCCUACGCACCCUUUACGCCCAGUGAAUCCGAACAACGCUUGGGACCUCUGUAUUACCGCGGCUGCUGGCAC
This 292-nucleotide ribosomal RNA is filed under the name uncultured bacterium. Its description in RNAcentral is "partial 16S ribosomal RNA". RNAcentral also lists the same sequence under 1 other name. The record is from RNAcentral.